Molecule: RNase P RNA, 416 nt
Filed under: Falsigemmobacter faecalis
Lineage: Bacteria; Pseudomonadati; Pseudomonadota; Alphaproteobacteria; Rhodobacterales; Paracoccaceae
Description: Gemmobacter sp. YIM 102744-1 RNase P RNA component class A
Rfam family: Bacterial RNase P class A
About the family: Ribonuclease P (RNase P) is a ubiquitous endoribonuclease, found in archaea, bacteria and eukarya as well as chloroplasts and mitochondria. Its best characterised activity is the generation of mature 5'-ends of tRNAs by cleaving the 5'-leader elements of precursor-tRNAs. Cellular RNase Ps are ribonucleoproteins.
Source: RNAcentral
GCGGAAGGCCGGAUGACCGCGUGUGGCUGCGGGUCCCGUGAGGGAAACUGCGUCACACGAGGAAAGUCCGGACUCCAUGAAGUAAGGGUGCCGGGUAACGCCCGGCGGGGGUAACCCCAGGGAAAGCGCCACAGAGAACGAGACCGCCCUGCUUGCAGGGUAAGGGUGAAACGGUGGGGUAAGAGCCCACCGCGGACCGGGCAACCGGGACGGCACGGCAAGCCCCACCCGGAGCAAUGCCGAAUAGGGACCUCGCGCGGGCCAGGGUCGGGCAACCGAGACCGCCGCAGGGACACUUCAGCCCGAGAGGUCCGGGUUGGCAGCUAAAGCCCGUCAGUAAUGGCGGGACAAGAGGAAUGGUCAUCCAGAGGGGGCAACCCCUUGGACAGAAUCCGGCUUACAGGCCUUCCGCGCAA